GCUAAUACCGCAUAACAAUGGAUGACACAUGUCAUUUAUUUGAAAGGGGCAAUUGCUCCACUACAAGAUGGACCUGCGUUGUAUUAGCUAGUAGGUGAGGUAAUGGCUCACCUAGGCGACGAUACAUAGCCGACCUGAGAGGGUGAUCGGCCACACUGGGACUGAGACACGGCCCAGACUCCUACGGGAGGCAGCAGUAGGGAAUCUUCGGCAAUGGGGGCAACCCUGACCGAGCAACGCCGCGUGAGUGAAGAAGGUUUUCGGAUCGUAAAGCUCUGUUGUAAGUCAAGAACGGGUGUGAGAGUGGAAAGUUCACACUGUGACGGUAGCUUACCAGAAAGGGACGGCUAACUACGUGCCAGCAGCCGCGGUAAUACGUAGGUCCCGAGCGUUGUCCGGAUUUAUUGGGCGUAAAGCGAGCGCAGGCGGUUUGAUAAGUCUGAAGUUAAAGGCUGUGGCUCAACCAUAGUUCGCUUUGGAAACUGUCAAACUUGAGUGCAGAAGGGGAGAGUGGAAUUCCAUGUGUAGCGGUGAAAUGCGUAGAUAUAUGGAGGAACACCGGUGGCGAAAGCGGCUCUCUGGUCUGUAACUGACGCUGAGGCUCGAAAGCGUGGGGAGCGAACAGGAUUAGAUACCCUGGUAGUCCACGCCGUAAACGAUGAGUGCUAGGUGUUGGAUCCUUUCCGGGAUUCAGUGCCGCAGCUAACGCAUUAAGCACUCCGCCUGGGGAGUACGACCGCAAGGUUGAAACUCAAAGGAAUUGACGGGGGCCCGCACAAGCGGUGGAGCAUGUGGUUUAAUUCGAAGCAACGCGAAGAACCUUACCAGGUCUUGACAUCCCGAUGCUAUUUCUAGAGAUAGAAAGUUACUUCGGUACAUCGGUGACAGGUGGUGCAUGGUUGUC
This 904-nucleotide ribosomal RNA is filed under the name Streptococcus thermophilus. RNAcentral describes it as "bacterial SSU rRNA". It matches the Rfam family "Bacterial small subunit ribosomal RNA", at positions 162 to 1053 of the family's 1533-position model. The record is from RNAcentral. Lineage: Bacteria; Bacillati; Bacillota; Bacilli; Lactobacillales; Streptococcaceae.